This 468-nucleotide ribosomal RNA is filed under the name uncultured bacterium. Its description in RNAcentral is "partial 16S ribosomal RNA". It matches the Rfam family "Bacterial small subunit ribosomal RNA", at positions 28 to 507 of the family's 1533-position model. The record is from RNAcentral.
GACGAACGCUGGCGGCGUGCUUAACACAUGCAAGUCGAACGGAAAGGCCCUGCUUUUGUGGGGUGCUCGAGUGGCGAACGGGUGAGUAACACGUGAGUAACCUGCCCUUGACUUUGGGAUAACUUCAGGAAACUGGGGCUAAUACCGGAUAGGAGCUCCUGCUGCAUGGUGGGGGUUGGAAAGUUUCGGCGGUUGGGGAUGGACUCGCGGCUUAUCAGCUUGUUGGUGGGGUAGUGGCUUACCAAGGCUUUGACGGGUAGCCGGCCUGAGAGGGUGACCGGCAACAUUGGGACUGAGAUACGGCCCAGACUCCUACGGGAGGCAGCAGUGGGGAAUAUUGCACAAUGGGCGGAAGCCUGAUGCAGCAACGCAGCGUGCGGGAUGACGGCCUUCGGGUUGUAAACCGCUUUCGCCUGUGACGAAGCGUGAGUGACGGUAAUGGGUAAAGAAGCACCGGCUAACUACGUG